CUUUUUUCCUGUUGGUUUUUUUUUUUUUUCCAGAAAUGAAUUAAGAGCUUUAAGAUUGAAUUUGUGGAUGUGAAAAAUCAGAAAAAGAUGUAAAUGCUGUUUUCCUGAGGCCAAGGGAGCUCUGCAUCAAAGUGAAAAGCUACGUGGAGCUAAUGCCCUGGUCCCUGACAGCCAGCAGAACCAGCUCUGGGGUUUG
This 196-nucleotide long non-coding RNA is filed under the name Junco hyemalis (dark-eyed junco). RNAcentral describes it as "lncRNA (ENSJHYG00000015689.1)". Lineage: Eukaryota; Metazoa; Chordata; Aves; Passeriformes; Passerellidae. The record is from RNAcentral.